UUUGCUAUUCCUGGAAUUAAGUUGACUGUGCAGCCUCUUUCAGCAUGGCUUGUGCUCAGCAAUCAAAGUCAGCAACUUGAUUCCAGCAAUUGCGGUCA
Non-coding RNA from Glossina brevipalpis, 98 nucleotides. Lineage: Eukaryota; Metazoa; Arthropoda; Insecta; Diptera; Glossinidae. The record is from Rfam.